GCUAUUCUCUGGAGUCAGAUGGAUAAAGCUUCAGUUUCCCAGGUAACCAACCAUGGAUCUGAGCUGAGUGACCCAGUGCCGAUGUGAAGAAGAAUGUUGCCAAGACAACGGAAUCCAUACCCCUUUCCAGCACUGAGGCCUUCCUCCCUCUCACUACCUGCUUGGAUCUCAGGCUUUACCCCAUAAAGACAAAGAAACUGGCUGAGGAGACAAGAGAAAGAAAGUAGCAGAAGAUGGGAAGGAAACAGACGGAGUCUCACUUGUGUUGCCAAGAGAGCUUGAGCAUCAACUGGCAGUGAGGAUGGCAGGAAAGCAACUGACUUAUCCCCUCUCACCAGACCUUCCAACUGUCUGCAACACUGGCAUUGCCACGUAUCCCGGCACGUUGUUGAUCCCAUUGUGGCAUUGUGGUCAGAGAAUAUACAAAUCGCUGAAGAAUCCAUUGUUUAUGGACAUUCCUGGGAUAGUAUUCAUUUAAAUAUCUCUAUGUACACUGUAAUGGAAUAUAAUACAAAAAUGGAGUUGCACGCAAAAUGAGGGUACCACUCAGUAAAUGGUUCCACAGGGACGUCUGAUCCCCUACGAUCUGGGUUAAGAAAUGGUGUAGUGUAUUGCCGGCAGCUCAAAAGCACUCUCAUGCCAGUCACUCUUGUCUUCCACCUCAGCAAAUCUAACCACUCUUGUGACUUUUAACACUUGACGAUAAUCCUGCCUGUUUGUGAACGCAUUACACAUGAGUAGACUCAGUACAGUACGUAUUUUAUAAUCCGGGUUUCUCUUGGCAACAUUAGGUUUUUCUCCUUGCUAUUCACUUUUGUCGUGCUGUGUAGCUGAAUUUCGUUUCUUUGCAUUCCUGCGCAGUGUUUUGAAUUGUAUGACGAUGCCACAAUUUAUUCAUGCCUUUUAUUUCUAAUGGGCUCUUCAGUAGUUUCCAGCGCUGGAGUGUUAGUGUUAUUAUUGUGGUGCACGUUCACAAGGAUGUCCUUUGGUUAACAUGCGUAUGCAUUUAAGGCUGUGCUUGCAGGACUGCUUUGAUUACUUUUUCUUCCUUCAUGGCACUGUAAGUGGUGACAGUGGAUGUAUCUGGUUUUUUUUUCCCCCUGAUCUCAGAGGGAAAGCUGUCAACAUGUCACCCGUAAGUAUCGUUGUUUUUGUAGGCUUUUAAAAUAUAUUCCAACGGAAUCAAGAGACUUCCCUUUUGUUCGUAGUUGGCUAAGAGGUUUUAUCAUAAGUGCAUGGUCAUUUAAAAAAAAUCAAACCCAUGAAAUACCCUUCCUGCGUCUGUAGGGAAUAUCAUAUUUUUUCUCCUUCAUACAUUACUUCUGAGAGAUAGAUUUUUCAAGCGCUGAACCGCUUCAUUUCUAGAAUACUCUUGACUUGUUUGUGAUACGUUUUCCUUUUUGGAGAUUUAACUGAUUUGUUUUGCUAAUGCUUUAUUCAAGAUUUCUUCUUCUGUGCUUAUGUAAAAGAUAGGCCUGUGCAUUUCAUUUCUUACCAUGCCCUUUAAGGUUUUUCCCUCAUAAAACGGGAUGGGAAGCAUUUCCCGUUUUUUAUGUUACUUGGCAAGAAGGUAAGAUUGAUAUUCCUUCCUUCACAAACGUUUUGUAGAAUUAAUCGGUGGCAGCAUCAGAGUCCGUAGGUUCUUGUGGCUGUUGCUGUUGUUUCCUUCAGAUUCCGCCCGUUUAGAAUUUGUAGGACAAUUCAGAUGUUUAGUCUGUUUUCUGUCAUUUUGUUGUAUUUUCUUGAAAUGUGUAAAUUAUAUCCAAAGUUUCACGUUUGUGGGCAUAAAGUUGCUCAUGGUUUUGAAUAAUGAUCUCUUUAAUGCCUUCAUUGCCCAUAGUGAUGUCUCCUUAGCCACUCCAGACACGGGUUGCUUCAUGAUUUCUCUCCUUUUUGUUCAGGCCUACACAAGGCAUGUCUUAAUCACAUCAUCUUUUCAAAAAACCACCUCUGGCUGUGUUGUUUUAUCUUUAACUGAUUUGUACUUUUAUCGUUAUUUCAUUUCUUCUGCUUUCUUCAGGUUUAAUCUGUUGUUCAACAUGGUUAAGAAAGAUGCAAAUGUUGUGCCUUUCUUUUUCAUGCAAUCUAGACAAUUAAAAUAUAUCCCAUAAGAUUUCAUCAGGUUCAAAAUACUUUGCGAUUUCAUUGGUGAUGUUUUCCUUGAGCUAUGGGUUAUUUAGAAAAUAGGAAAUAAAAAGGAUGCCUUUUCUAAAAAUAAAAUGAAGUGAAAUAAAAAGGAUGCCCUUUUAUUUCAUUUUCUUGCUUAAUUGCCCUCUGAACUUCCGGGACUAUGUUGAGAAGAAGUAGCAAAAGCGGGCAUCUCUGUCUUGCUCCUGAUCUUAGAGGAAAAGCUUUCACUCUUUCGCCAUCGUGUACAGUGUUCACAAUGAGUAUUUUAUAUAGGACUUUUGUGACGUUGAGGUUGUUUCCUUCUGUUUCAAGGAGUUUGAGUGUUUUUAUCACGAAGGGGGUUGACUUUUGUCAGAUGCUUUUAGUGCAUCAAUUGAGCCGAUCAUGUGGUUUUGUCCUUCAUUUUGUUGAUGCCGUACACUAAAUUAGUUGAUUUUCAUUGAUCGAAACUUCCUUGCAUUCCACGAAUAAAUCCCACGUGGUCAUGGGCCUUUCAUGUGUUGUUGAACUCGGUGUGCUAGACUUUUGUUGAAUAUGUAUGCACAAACAUUCUUUUGGGAAGUGUGUGUGUGUGUGUGUGUGUGUGUGCGCGCGCGUUUCUGGUCCUAGUUCUUCUCUAACUGUUUAGUAGAAUUCUCCACUGAAGCCAUCUAGUCCUGCGGUUUUCUCUGUUGGGAGGUUGAUGAAUACUGGUUAAGUCUCCUUAUGAGUUGUCGAGAUCUGCUGAGAUUUUUUAUUUCUUCAGGAGUCAGUCUUGGCAGCGUGUACGUUUCUCAGAAUUUAUCCAUUUCUUCUAAAGUAUCAAAUUUGUUGGGGUAUAGUUGUUCCUGGUCUUCUCCUUAUAAUCUUUUUUAUUUCUGUAGUAACAAUUGUAAUGCCCCUCUGUCAUUCUGAUUUUAGUUAUUUGACCCUUCUCUGUUUUUUUCUUAAUCUGCUUAACCUAUGUUGACCUUUUCAGAGACACCAGCUCUUAGUUUCAUUGUUUUUUUUUUCCUAUUAUUUGUCUAUUCUCCAUUUCCUUUAUUUGUGCUCUAAUCUUUAUUACUUCCUUCCUUCUGCUAACUUCGGGUUUACGUUGUUCUUCCUUUGCUAGUUCUCGAAACACAAAGAUAGGCUGUUGAUUUGAGAUCUUUCUUCUUUUUCACUGUAAGGAUUUACCACAAUAAACUUCCCUCUUAACACUGCUUUCCCUGCAUCUCCUUAGUUGUGGUAUGUGGUGUUUUCAUUGUCAUGUGUCUCAAGAUACUUUCUAAUUUCCUUGUGGUC
RNAcentral lists this long non-coding RNA (3396 nucleotides) under Homo sapiens (human). Its description in RNAcentral is "HSALNT0407607". The record is from RNAcentral. Lineage: Eukaryota; Metazoa; Chordata; Mammalia; Primates; Hominidae.